AAAACACGAGACGGCCCAGCCCAGGAUUACACAGUUGCCACAUUUCAACAAUAACAAAGCUAAUAUCCCCCUAUUUAAGCCCUCGUAGACACUUAUAUACGUGUAAAUAAGUGUUAAAAAGUGUUUAGUGUACUUUAAUAUGGUACUUAACACUUAUAAGACCUUUAAGUAGUGAAAUAAAGUCUCCCGAAACACGAGACUUGGCACCGUCGCAUCAGCUGGCCGCCUCCUUCACCCUCCCUGUCAAACCAACAUGUCUCCCUCGCUGGUGACUUGUCCUUAUUUUAGCGGCAAAUUUUCGGGUUUAUGGAGGUCGUGCAGCGCUGGGGAGGGCGUGGUGGGCGCGGCGACCCCUCCUGCAGGCGUGGGGGGCGGCGGCGCGGGCGUGGGGGGCGGCGAUCCCCUGAAAUAAGGGAAGGAGCCGAGAUGAGACCAGACUCAGCCCUCCAGUGAGCCCAGGAGACCACCAGGGGGACACCCACGCACCUCAUGGCUUGGGGGGGGGUCACAUGGAGGUGGUGGGUGAGUGAAGCAACGCACCCCCUGUGUAUGCUCGGCCCCAGGCUUCAUCAGGUCAGGGGCUGCCUCAAGAACAGGUCAUUUCCCUCACUUAUUCUCUCCAUGUUUCCUCCAUUUUCUCCUCCUUCCUCCACCUCUUCCUCCUUUCCUCCUACACCAAAAAAUAGCUUAAUCUUUCCUCUUCCUCCUCCUGUCUUCCUCUUCCUCCUCCUCCUCUUGGUUUCCCUGUUAUCUCCACUUUUAUCAAGGUCUGUGUAUUUCUCCGGCAUAAUUUUGGUGGUUUCGUUCAUUUCCUCCUCCAAUUUCAAGUCCAUUUUUCUCCCUUUUCCUCCACCUCUUCCUCCUUUCCUCCUAUACCAAAAAAUAGCUUAAUCUUUCCUCUUCCUCCUCCUGUCUUCCGCUUCCUCCUCCUCCUCUUGGUUUCCCUGUUAUUUCCACUUUUAUCAAGGUCUGUGUGUUUCUCCAGCGUAAUCUUGGUGGUUUCGUUCAUUUCCUCCUCCAAGUUUGACUCCAUUUUCCUCCACUUUCCUUCCUCUCUUCCUCCUUUUCUCCUACACCAAAAAAUAGCUUAAUCUUUCCUCUUCCUCCUCCUGUCUUCCUCUUCCUCCUCCUCCUCUUGGUUUCCCUGUUAUCUCCACUUUUAUCAAGGUCUGUGUCUUAUUCCAGGGUUGAAAACUUUGCAGAAUGGACAAAAAAAUACCAGAAAUUGCUUGAAUAUUUAUUGACCAAAAUGACACUUCUUGCAGAGAGAGAGAGAGAGAGAGAGAGAGGGGGGGGGGGUUACUUUAUGUGUCUGUGGGGGCAUGUGUCUGUGGGGGGUUGUCUACACCCUGUGGGGGGUACACCCUGGGGGGCCUGGGGGCUGAGAGAGAGAGAGAGAGAGAGAGAGAGAGAGAGAGAGAGAGAGAGAGAGAGAGAGAGAGAGAGAGAGAGAGAGAGAGAGAGAGAGAGAGACACACACACACACACACACACACACACACACACA
This is a long non-coding RNA of Eriocheir sinensis (Chinese mitten crab), 1507 nucleotides long. RefSeq lists it as uncharacterized. The record is from RefSeq and is a predicted model, not a curated record. The transcript has 3 exons. NCBI's taxonomy places the organism in Eukaryota, Metazoa, Arthropoda, Malacostraca, Decapoda, Varunidae.